Molecule: ribosomal RNA, 1412 nt
Filed under: human gut metagenome
Description: bacterial LSU rRNA
Rfam family: Bacterial large subunit ribosomal RNA
Source: RNAcentral
GUGACGGCGUGCCUUUUGCAUAAUGAGCCUACGAGUUAGUCGUCACCAGCGAGGUUAAGUCCUUCAGGGACGUGAGCCGAAGUGAAAGCGAGCCUCUAAAGGGCGUUAAGUUGGUGGCGCUAGACGCGAAACCUUGUGAUCUACCCUCGUGCAGGUUGAAGUCGCGGUAACACGUGAUGGAGGACCGAACCGGUAAACGUUGAAAAGUUUUCGGAUGACGCGAGGGUAGGGGUGAAAGGCCAAUCAAACUGGGAAAUAGCUCGUACUCUCCGAAAUGCAUUUCGGUGCAGCCUGUGGUGUUCUGUUCUAGAGGUAGAGCUACUGAUUGGACGCGAGGGCUUCACCGCCUAUCAAAUCCGGAUAAACUCCGAAUGCUAGAACACUUGAACCAUGGAGUGAGCCCGCGGGUGCUAAGGUCCGCGGACGAGAGGGGAAGAACCCAGACCACCCGCUAAGGUCCCCGAUGGACGGUUAAGUUGAUAAAACGAGGUGGGAUCGCGAAGACAGCUAGGAUGUUGGCUUGGAAGCAGCCAUUCAUUUAAAGAGUGCGUAACAGCUCACUAGUCGAGUGAUCCCGCGUGGAUAAUACACGGGCAUUAAACCGUCAACCGAAGCGGUGGGGUUAGCAGUAGCUAACCGGUAGGAGAGCAUUCCUGUCGGCGCUGAAGGUGUAUCGCGAGGUACGCUGGAGCGUCAGGAAAAGCAAAUGUAGGCAUAAGUAACGAUAAUGGGGGCGAGAACCCCCCACGCCGAAAGACCAAGGAUUCCCCGGCAAUGCCAAUCAGCCGGGGGUCAGCCGGCCUCUAAGGCUAACCCGAGUGGGGAUGCCGACGAGAAACGGGUUAACAUUCCCGUGCUUCUCGUCACCGUUACGCGGUGACGGGGUGACCAAGGAACCGCGCGCUGACGGAAUAGCGCGUUGAAGGCCGUACCCUGUGACGGUGGUAGUCAAGCACGCCACCGGAGGCGAAAGUCGAUAGUACCGCGAGGCCUCGGCCGAGCGGAUAGCGUUCCGGGCGUUAACCCCCAAGAAAACCCGCUAAACUUCAAGUGACGAGGAACCGUACUGUAAACGGACACACGUGGUCUGGUAGAGGAUACCGAGGCGCUCGAGUGAUUCAUGGUCAAGGAACUAGGCAAAAUAGUCCUGUAACCUCGGGAUAAAGGACGCUCUAGUGAUAGAGCCGCAGAGAAAUGGCCCAGGCGACUGUUUACCAAAAACACAUGGCUAUGCCAAAUCGAGAGAUGACGUAUAUGGCCUGACACCUGCCCGGUGCCGGAAGGUUAAGAGGAGAGCUUAGACGAAAGUCGAGGGUUUGAAUUGAAGCCCCGGUAAACGGCGGCCGUAACUAUAACGGUCCUAAGGUAGCGAAAUUCCUUGUCGGGUAAGUUCCGACCUGCACGAAUGGUGU